This 497-nucleotide ribosomal RNA is filed under the name uncultured bacterium. RNAcentral's name for it is "partial 16S ribosomal RNA". It matches the Rfam family "Bacterial small subunit ribosomal RNA", at positions 28 to 507 of the family's 1533-position model. The record is from RNAcentral.
GAUGAACGCUGGCGGCGUGCCUAACACAUGCAAGUCGAGCGACCGGACGAGACGCUUGCUUCUGUGAUGUUAGCGACGGACGGGUGAGUAACACGUGGCUAACCUACCUAUAAGACACGGAUCACUUCGACAAACCGUAGCUAAUACCGGACAAUCUUUUGAACCGCUCGGUUCAAAAGUGAAAGACGGUCUUGCUGUUCCUUAUAGAUGGACCCGCGCUGCAUUAGCUAGUUGGUAAGGUAACGGCUUACCAAGGCAACGAUGGGUAGCCGACCUGAGAGGGUGAUCAGCCACACUGGAACUGAGACACGGUCCAGACUCCUACGGGAGGCAGCAGUGGGGAAUCUUGCGCAAUGGGCGAAAGCCUGACGGAGCAACGCCGCGUGGGUGAUGAAGGUCUUCGGAUCGUAAAACUCUGUUAGGAGGGAAGAACAUAUGUGGAAGUAACUGUGCACAGCUUGACGGUACCUAAACAGGAAGCCCCGGCUAACUACGUG